AAAUCCUUAUAAACAAUGGUUGUCACAACGAGACUAUCCUUACACAUAAGAGAAAGAGUCUUCAUGAAGGAGAACUCAUGGGACAAAUUAGAGUUGAUAAAACUCUAGAGCUUUUAAAAGGAAAACUUUUGUCCCCCAUGAGAAAAGAAGUUCAAAGACAUUACCUUAGGUACAAUUCUUGUUUUCAAACUACACCCAAGGCAAUCUCUCAUGAACUCUAUACUCCUUCACCUUUUGCAAAUGAUCAUU
Molecule: long non-coding RNA, 249 nt
Filed under: Phaseolus vulgaris (common bean)
Lineage: Eukaryota; Viridiplantae; Streptophyta; Magnoliopsida; Fabales; Fabaceae
Description: long non-coding RNA (PVUL_LNC000761)
Source: RNAcentral